GAUGAACGUUGGCGGCGUGCCUAAUACAUGCAAGUCGAACGAAGACUGUAGUAAUACUGUCUUAGUGGCGAACGGGUGAGUAACGCGUGGGUGACCUGCCCCGAAGUGUGGGAUAACAGUUCGAAAGGAUUGCUAAUACUGCAUAAUAUCCAAGAGAUUAGACGCUUUUGGAUUAAAGGAGUAAUUCGCUUCGGGAGGGGCCCGCGUCCCAUCAGCUAGUUGGUAAGGUAAUGGCUUACCAAGGCGAUGACGGGUAGGGGACCUGAGAGGGUGGCCCCCCACAAUGGAACUGAAACACGGUCCAUACACCUACGGGUGGCAGCAGUAGGGAAUAUUAGUAAUGGGCGAAAGCCUGAACUAGCAACGCCGCGUGUGCGAAGAAGGCCUUCGGUUGUAAAGCACUUUUUGAGAGGAUGAGGAAGGACGGUACUCUCAGAAUAAGUCUCGGCUAACUACGUG
This 459-nucleotide ribosomal RNA is filed under the name uncultured bacterium. Its description in RNAcentral is "bacterial SSU rRNA". It matches the Rfam family "Bacterial small subunit ribosomal RNA", at positions 28 to 507 of the family's 1533-position model. The record is from RNAcentral.